CGCGGGUUUGCUGGUCUCCUGUUUGCUCUCCUCCUCUUCAAACGUGAAACAAGAAGAAGCUCGAUGGUUCAAAAGGAAUCGCGCGCCACGUCGUCAACGGCGAAGCGGACAACUCACUGGGGCCGGUCACAACCUUGACUGGUGCGCAGGAACUCUUGGUAGUGGGUCUCCAGUCUUUUGAUGAUGCUGCGGUACUCCUCGGGGCGCAUUUUCGAGAUCUGCCAGACGAACCGCCGCGAGGAAGGAUCCCUUUCUGGAAAAAACAUGGACGCAAAAGCGGAAGACAAAUCUUUCUUUGAAUGUCGGGACCGAAAUCCGUACUCCGGCCUGAAAGCGUUGAGCGGUUCUGCCGUCUCGGAGCAACGCAAGCGAGGGUCUGUCUGCCCGAAAUCCCCAAAUUGGA
Molecule: long non-coding RNA, 403 nt
Organism: Syngnathoides biaculeatus (alligator pipefish)
Lineage: Eukaryota; Metazoa; Chordata; Actinopteri; Syngnathiformes; Syngnathidae
Exons: 3
Source: RefSeq, a predicted model, not a curated record